GUGGACUUUCCUCUCAGAAGCACUGCCAUUGCAUGAUCCAGCAAUGUACUUUGGCUGAACAACACUUUGGCAUCAAUCUCCUGUAUGUUGGACCCUCUCCUGCUUUUUUCUAACAUGAAAUGUUUCCUUUUGGGAAGCUCUCUGAGAAUCACAUGCCCUGCAACCUCCACUAUAUUCCCUGGUAGCCGGUACAUGGCACAGUGUAAUAGAAGGAAUCCCAACAAUAGAGAAGAAAGUGACCCUCCCUGUACUGUGGUCAGCAACAGAGCUCAAGGCCAGACUGACGUGUCUGCAGAGUGAGGAGGUCACUGAGCUGAUUCUGUAAGGACCCCUGCCAAAACCCGAUAAAUCAGAUACAAAUCAUGCAUGCAACAGAGUGUUUUCAUUUACUUUCCUGUUCAUCAUUCUUGCUGUUGGUCUCAUCUGCACAUUCCUGGCCACAGAAGAACAUGAGUUUACUUGGCUUCUUCUUUGCAAGUCUCAGAAGAAACUUCCCAUAGACAAAUUAAAACAAGCACUGGUCUUUGAAACCAUUAUUUUUCAUAAUGAGCCCCUAAGGCAGCUUUAUUACACAAGUAUUUGCAUAACCUCUCAUCAACUUAACCAAUGCUUAUCACCUCAGUUCAAUGUGUACCAAACUGAAAUACAUAUCCCAAACAGUAUCGCACUUCUAACACACAC
Molecule: long non-coding RNA, 681 nt
Filed under: Anas platyrhynchos platyrhynchos (common mallard)
Lineage: Eukaryota; Metazoa; Chordata; Aves; Anseriformes; Anatidae
Description: lncRNA (ENSAPLG00000024712.1)
Source: RNAcentral